UUUUUGAUUAUAAUUUAAAGUCUGGUCUGCCCACUGAUAUAAAUUAAAGGGCUGCAGUAUUUUGACUGUACAAAGGUAGCAUAAUCAUUAGUCUCUUAAUUGGUGACUUGUAUGAAAGAUUUGAUGAAAUAUAAACUGUCUCUUUAUAAUUUAUAAAAUUUAAUUUUUUAGUAAAAAAGCUAAAAUAAUUUUAAAAGACGAGAAGACCCUAUAGAGUUUUAUAAUUUGUUUAAUUUUUAAUUUUUAUUAAUUUUUUAUUAAAAAUUAAAUUAAUUAUUUUGUUGGGGUGAUAGAAAAAUUUGAUAAACUUUUUUUAAAAAAUAAACAUUUAUAAAUGAUAAUAUGAUCCGAUUUUAUCGAUUAAAAGAUUAAAUUACCUUAGGGAUAACAGCGUAAUUUUUUUUUUUAGUUCAAAUAAGAAGAAAAGUUUGCGACCUCGAUGUUGGAUUAAGAUAAAAUUUAAAUGCAAAAGUUUAAAAUUUU
Molecule: ribosomal RNA, 483 nt
Filed under: Graphium agamemnon
Lineage: Eukaryota; Metazoa; Arthropoda; Insecta; Lepidoptera; Papilionidae
Description: partial 16S ribosomal RNA
Source: RNAcentral